AGUGAACGCUGGCGGUAGGCCUAACACAUGCAAGUCGAACGGCAGCACAGUAAGAGCUUGCUCUUACGGGUGGCGAGUGGCGGACGGGUGAGGAAUACAUCGGAAUCUACUUUUUCGUGGGGGAUAACGUAGGGAAACUUACGCUAAUACCGCAUACGACCUACGGGUGAAAGCAGGGGAUCUUCGGACCUUGCGCGAUUGAAUGAGCCGAUGUCGGAUUAGCUAGUUGGCGGGGUAAAGGCCCACCAAGGCGACGAUCCGUAGCUGGUCUGAGAGGAUGAUCAGCCAAACUGGAACUGAGACACGGUCCAGACUCCUACGGGAGGCAGCAGUGGGGAAUAUUGGGCAAUGGGCGCAAGCCUGAUCCAGCCAUACCGCGUGGGUGAAGAAGGCCUUCGGGUUGUAAAGCCCUUUUGUUGGGAAAGAAAAGCAGCAGGUUAAUACCCCGCUGUUCUGACGGUACCCAAAGAAUAAGCACCGGCUAACUUCGUG
Molecule: ribosomal RNA, 492 nt
Filed under: uncultured bacterium
Lineage: Bacteria
Description: partial 16S ribosomal RNA
Rfam family: Bacterial small subunit ribosomal RNA
Source: RNAcentral